GUGGGGAAUCUUCCGCAAUGGACGAAAGUCUGACGGAGCGACGCCGCGUGAGUGAUGAAGGCCCUUGGGUCGUAAAGCUCUGUCAUCAGGGACGAACGGUCACGUCAGGAAAUGGGCGUGAAUUGACGGUACCUGAGAAGGAAGCCACGGCUAACUACGUGCCAGCAGCCGCGGUAAUACGUAGGUGGCGAGCGUUGUCCGGAAUUAUUGGGCGUAAAGCGCGCGCAGGUGGGAUCUUAAGUCUGUUCUGAAAGUUCGGAGCUUAACUCCGUGAUGGGAUGGAAACUGGUAUUCUUGAGUAUCGGAGAGGAAAGCGGAAUUCCCCGUGUAGCGGUGAAAUGCGUAGAUAUGGGGAGGAACACCAGUGGCGAAGGCGGCUUUCUGGACGAUGUCUGACACUGAGGCGCGAAAGCCAGGGGAGCGAACGGGAUUAGAUACCCCGGUAGUCC
Molecule: ribosomal RNA, 449 nt
Filed under: uncultured bacterium
Lineage: Bacteria
Description: partial 16S ribosomal RNA
Rfam family: Bacterial small subunit ribosomal RNA
Source: RNAcentral